UCCUGGUUAGCCCAGUUGAUAGAGCACUUCACUGGAAAUGGAGAGGUCCCUGGUUCAAUAUCAGGACCAGGUG
Molecule: transfer RNA, 73 nt
Filed under: Ixodes scapularis (black-legged tick)
Lineage: Eukaryota; Metazoa; Arthropoda; Arachnida; Ixodida; Ixodidae
Rfam family: tRNA
About the family: Transfer RNA (tRNA) molecules are approximately 80 nucleotides in length. Their secondary structure includes four short double-helical elements and three loops (D, anti-codon, and T loops). Further hydrogen bonds mediate the characteristic L-shaped molecular structure. tRNAs have two regions of fundamental functional importance: the anti-codon, which is responsible for specific mRNA codon recognition, and the 3' end, to which the tRNAs corresponding amino acid is attached (by aminoacyl-tRNA synthetases). tRNAs cope with the degeneracy of the genetic code in two manners: having more than one tRNA (with a specific anti-codon) for a particular amino acid; and 'wobble' base-pairing, i.e. permitting non-standard base-pairing at the 3rd anti-codon position.
Source: Rfam by way of RNAcentral